Molecule: ribosomal RNA, 599 nt
Filed under: Rahnella sp.
Lineage: Bacteria; Pseudomonadati; Pseudomonadota; Gammaproteobacteria; Enterobacterales; Yersiniaceae
Description: bacterial SSU rRNA
Rfam family: Bacterial small subunit ribosomal RNA
Source: RNAcentral
UAGCGGCAGCGGGAAGUAGCUUGCUACUUUGCCGGCGAGCGGCGGACGGGUUGAGUAAUGUCUGGGAAACUGCCUGAUGGAGGGGGAUAACUACUGGAAACGGUAGCUAAUACCGCAUGACCUCGCAAGAGCAAAGUGGGGGACCUUCGGGCCUCACGCCAUCGGAUGUGCCCAGAUGGGAUUAGCUAGUAGGUGAGGUAAUGGCUCACCUAGGCGACGAUCCCUAGCUGGUCUGAGAGGAUGACCAGCCACACUGGAACUGAGACACGGUCCAGACUCCUACGGGAGGCAGCAGUGGGGAAUAUUGCACAAUGGGCGCAAGCCUGAUGCAGCCAUGCCGCGUGUGUGAAGAAGGCCUUAGGGUUGUAAAGCACUUUCAGCGAGGAGGAAGGGUUCAGUGUUAAUAGCACUGUGCAUUGACGUUACUCGCAGAAGAAGCACCGGCUAACUCCGUGCCAGCAGCCGCGGUAAUACGGAGGGUGCAAGCGUUAAUCGGAAUUACUGGGCGUAAAGCGCACGCAGGCGGUUUGUUAAGUCANAUGUGAAAUCCCCGAGCUUAACUUGGGAACUGCAUUUGAAACUGGCAAGCUAGAGUCUUG